GACGAACGCUGGCGGCGUGCCUAACACAUGCAAGUCGAACGGAGAAUUUCAAGAAGUUUACUUUGAGAAAUUUUUAGUGGCGGACGGGUGAGUAACGCGUGGGUAACCUACCCAUAAACCCGGGAUAACCCUUGGAAACGAGGGCUAAUACCGGAUAAUCUUUUAUGUUGGCAUCAACGUUUAAGAAAAGGUGGCCUCUGAACAUGCUACCGAUUAUGGAUGGACCCGCGUCUGAUUAGCUAGUUGGUGGGGUAAAGGCCUACCAAGGCGACGAUCAGUAGCCGGCCUGAGAGGGUGAACGGCCACACUGGGACUGAGACACGGCCCAGACUCCUACGGGUGGCUG
RNAcentral lists this ribosomal RNA (346 nucleotides) under uncultured Bacillota bacterium. RNAcentral's name for it is "bacterial SSU rRNA". It matches the Rfam family "Bacterial small subunit ribosomal RNA", at positions 28 to 351 of the family's 1533-position model. Lineage: Bacteria; Bacillati; Bacillota. The record is from RNAcentral.